Molecule: non-coding RNA, 26 nt
Filed under: Rattus norvegicus (Norway rat)
Lineage: Eukaryota; Metazoa; Chordata; Mammalia; Rodentia; Muridae
Source: RNAcentral
UUGAUGAGCCCUAGGAGGAAGACUGC